AUACGGAGGAUGCAAGCGUUAUCCGGAUUUAUUGGGUUUAAAGGGUGCGUAGGCGGUUUGCUAAGCGGGAGGUGAAAUGCCGGCGCUCAACGUCGGAAGUGCCUCCCGAACUGGGGGACUUGAAUGACUCUGCCGUGGGAGGAAUGUGUAGUGUAGCGGUGAAAUGCUUAGAGAUUACACAGAACACCGAUUGCGAAGGCAUCUCACGAAGGGUUGAUUGACGCUGAGGCACGAAAGCGUGGGGAUCAAACAGGAUUAGAUACUCUGGUAGUCCACGCAGUAAACGAUGAUAGCUAACCGCUGGGCUUAUCAGUUCAGUGGCCAAGCGAAAGCGAUAAGCCAUCCACCUGGGGAGUACGACCGCAAGGUUGAAACUCAAAGGAAUUGGCGGGG
Molecule: ribosomal RNA, 393 nt
Filed under: uncultured bacterium
Lineage: Bacteria
Description: partial 16S ribosomal RNA
Rfam family: Bacterial small subunit ribosomal RNA
Source: RNAcentral